AUAGGUGCAUUUUGGUGGAUUUACCAAAACUAUACACAAGCUUUAAGCACAAAGUAGCACAAUCAAUUAGUGAUGAGAUUUUUUUUUUAAUUUGAUCUUAAUGUUUGUAGAUUAUGCCACGGGCAACACGCAUCACAUCGCGUAGUGGACGGCCAAAAACACAAGCAGGUGAGCUGAAUGAGCACCCCAAUCUUCUUGGGUAUCAAACUAGCUGUCAUUUUAGAGUGGACACUACAGGACAUGUUUUAAACAAGAACAUGGGAAUCCUAGACAGAGAAAUCAGGUGGUUUGAAAAUCCAGGAGGUAGUUUACGGUUUCAGCUUUCAAACGUCUGGGGCGGAAUUUUACAAAAAGUUCAGAACCGUUCUAAAACUCCCUCCAAAAGAACCAAGCAAUGCUACAGUUCACUGAUUUUUUGAGCGAAGUCAAUUUUGGUUGGUGGGACACCGAAACCAUAGAGGAUUGUGAGUUUCUAAUGUGUUCUACGUAAUCAUCUCUUUUUUUGGAAAAUCUCACAAUGAGAAAAAAUCUAGGGGUUUUCUCCUAUGUGCGUGUCCUUAAAUGACGUGUAUGACAGCUCUGUUUACAAAAUCCAUUUUCACAGUGAGAGCAACGAUAAGGUUUUUUUCUGCAGCAUGUGUUCUUAUGAGUUGCAAGAUCACUCUUUUUUGCAAUUACCUUUCCACAAUAUGAUCAAAUACGGGGUUAUUCUCCUUUAUAUGUUCUUAUAAUAUGACAGGUUGGAUUGCCCUUUUCAGCAAACCUCUUAUCAGAAUGAGGGCAAAUAUAGGGGUUUUCUCCUGUGUGUGUUCAUAUAUGACAGGUAAGAUCAAUCUUUUUAGCAAAUCCCUUCUCACAAUGAGUUCAAAUAUAGGGUUUUUCUCCCAAAUGUGUUCUUAAAUGAUGGGUAAGAUUGCCCUUUUGAGAAAAUCCUCUUUCACAAAGAGAGCAACGAUAAGGUUUUUCUCCUCUGCGCCAGUAUGUUGUGUUAGUAUAAUAAUGAUGAUUCGAUAUUGUGGUGUGUUGUGGUGGUAUGUAGCUAUUACACCAACGGAGGUCUAACCCCUUUUAUUUAAUAGUGAGCUAGUUACGAAUCAUCAUGAAUUUGUUAUACAGAUUAUAUUGUAAAAGAGGAGAGAAAAGUAAGAGGCAGUCACGCCAGUAUGUUAUAUUAGUAAUAAUGAUGAUUCGAUGUUGCAACCGCUAAGUGUAAGCGCGCCACCUUGUGUUGGUCUCUUGGCCAUGGUCAUAAAAGACAGUCACACGUAACCUCAAAGUUGUCUAGUUUAUUCACUUAAGUCUUACUUUAUUAACCCUUGGUGCUGUGUGUUCUUAUAUGACGAGUAAGAUCGCCCUUUUGAGAAAAUCCUCUUUCACAAUGAGAGCAAAUAUUGAGUUUUGAUCCAGUAUGUGUUCUAAUAUGAAUUGUAUUCUAAUAUGAAUUGUAAGUGUUCUCGUCAGAAAAUCCCUUUUCACAAUGAGAACAAAUAUACGUUUUUCUCUCCUGUAUGUGUCCUAAUAUGAUAUGUAAGACCGACCUUGUUAGAAAAUCUCUUGUCACAAUGAGAGCAACGAUAAGGUUAUUCUCCUGUGUGUGUCCUAUGACAGAAAAGAUGACUCUUUAGAAAAUCUCUUUCACAAUUGUUAUAUAUAAGAAUUGUAGAAGAAUAUUAUGAAAGCAGUUACAUUAAUCUAUUAGUUAUUU
This 1705-nucleotide long non-coding RNA is filed under the name Lytechinus variegatus (green sea urchin). RNAcentral describes it as "uncharacterized LOC121420187". The record is from RNAcentral. Lineage: Eukaryota; Metazoa; Echinodermata; Echinoidea; Temnopleuroida; Toxopneustidae.